This 810-nucleotide ribosomal RNA is filed under the name Lodderomyces parapsilosis. RNAcentral's name for it is "Candida parapsilosis partial large subunit ribosomal RNA". It matches the Rfam family "Eukaryotic large subunit ribosomal RNA", at positions 96 to 923 of the family's 3401-position model. The record is from RNAcentral. Lineage: Eukaryota; Fungi; Ascomycota; Pichiomycetes; Serinales; Debaryomycetaceae.
AAGCGGCAAAAGCUCAAAUUUGAAAUCUGGCACUUUCAGUGUCCGAGUUGUAAUUUGAAGAAGGUAUCUUUGGGUCUGGCUCUUGUCUAUGUUUCUUGGAACAGAACGUCACAGAGGGUGAGAAUCCCGUGCGAUGAGAUGUCCCAGACCUAUGUAAAGUUCCUUCGAAGAGUCGAGUUGUUUGGGAAUGCAGCUCUAAGUGGGUGGUAAAUUCCAUCUAAAGCUAAAUAUUGGCGAGAGACCGAUAGCGAACAAGUACAGUGAUGGAAAGAUGAAAAGAACUUUGAAAAGAGAGUGAAAAAGUACGUGAAAUUGUUGAAAGGGAAGGGCUUGAGAUCAGACUUGGUAUUUUGUAUGUUACUCUCUCGGGGGUGGCCUCUACAGUUUACCGGGCCAGCAUCAGUUUGAGCGGUAGGAUAAGUGCAAAGAAAUGUGGCACUGCUUCGGUAGUGUGUUAUAGUCUUUGUCGAUACUGCCAGCUUAGACUGAGGACUGCGGCUUCGGCCUAGGAUGUUGGCAUAAUGAUCUUAAGUCGCCCGUCUUGAAACACGGACCAAGGAGUCUAACGUCUAUGCGAGUGUUUGGGUGUAAAACCCGUACGCGUAAUGAAAGUGAACGUAGGUAGGACCUCCUUUAGGAGUGCACUAUCGACCGAUCCUGAUGUCUUCGGAUGGAUUUGAGUAAGAGCAUAGCUGUUGGGACCCGAAAGAUGGUGAACUAUGCCUGAAUAGGGUGAAGCCAGAGGAAACUCUGGUGGAGGCUCGUAGCGGUUCUGACGUGCAAAUCGAUCGUCGAAUUUGGGUAUAGGGC